RNAcentral lists this ribosomal RNA (282 nucleotides) under Triticum aestivum (bread wheat). Its description in RNAcentral is "partial small subunit ribosomal RNA". The record is from RNAcentral. Lineage: Eukaryota; Viridiplantae; Streptophyta; Magnoliopsida; Poales; Poaceae.
AUGGUUUUGGGGGACUUUAACAUGAUUCUUCGGGCGGAGGACAAAAGCAACAAUAACAUUAACAGACGCAUCAUGAGGAGAUUUAAGGAGUUUGUGGACAAUAACGAACUUAAGGAGGUUUACAUGCAUGGCAGGAGAUUCACAUGGACUAAUGAAAGGGAUCAUCCGGUGAUGACUAAGAUCGAUCGUGUGUUGGUGACUGUGGACUGGGAGCUUGCUCACCCUGAUGUCCUCCUCCAAGCUCUGUCUACUAACAUAUCGGACCACGCCCCGCUCCACUUG